RNAcentral lists this ribosomal RNA (510 nucleotides) under uncultured bacterium. RNAcentral describes it as "partial 16S ribosomal RNA". It matches the Rfam family "Bacterial small subunit ribosomal RNA", at positions 28 to 523 of the family's 1533-position model. The record is from RNAcentral.
GACGAACGCUGGCGGCGUGCCUAAUACAUGCAAGUCGAGCGAAUGACGAGAAGCUUGCUUCUCUGAUUUAGCGGCGGACGGGUGAGUAACACGUGGGCAACCUGCCCUACAGAUCGGGAUAACUCAGGGAAACCUGGGCUAAUACCGGAUAAUCCUUCGAAUCACAUGUUUUGAAGUUGAAAGGCGCUUCGGCGUCACUGUAGGAUGGGCCCGCGGUGCAUUAGCUAGUUGGUGGGGUAACGGCCUACCAAGGCAACGAUGCAUAGCCGACCUGAGAGGGUGAUCGGCCACAUUGGGACUGAGACACGGCCCAAACUCCUACGGGAGGCUGCAGUAGGGAAUCUUCCACAAUGGACGAAAGUCUGAUGGAGCAACGCCGCGUGAGUGAUGAAGGUUUUCGGAUUGUAAAACUCUGUUGUAAGGGAAGAACAAGUACGUUAGGGAAUGAACGUACCUUGACGGUACCUUAUUAGAAAGCCACGGCUAACUACGUGCCAGCCGCCGCGGUAA